This 485-nucleotide ribosomal RNA is filed under the name uncultured bacterium. RNAcentral describes it as "partial 16S ribosomal RNA". It matches the Rfam family "Bacterial small subunit ribosomal RNA", at positions 29 to 523 of the family's 1533-position model. The record is from RNAcentral.
AGUGAACGCUGGCGGCGUGCUUAACACAUGCAAGUCGAACGAGAACGGAAUAUAGCUUGCUAUAUUUGUCAGCUAAGUGGCGCACGGGUGAGUAAUGUAUAGAUAACCUGCCCUUAAGAAAGGAAUAACAGUUGGAAACGACUGCUAAUGCCCUAUAUGCCUUUAAUACAUAAGUAUGCAAGGGAAACGCUUUAGUGCUUAAGGAUGGGUCUGUAUGGUAUCAGCUUGUUGGUGAGGUAAUGGCUCACCAAGGCUAUGACGCCUAACUGGUUUGAGAGGAUGAUCAGUCACAAUGGAACUGAGACACGGUCCAGACUCCUACGGGAGGCAGCAGUGGGGAAUAUUGCACAAUGGACGAAAGUCUGAUGCAGCAACGCCGCGUGGAGGAUGACACAUUUCGGUGCGUAAACUCCUUUUAUAUAGGAAGAUAAUGACGGUACUAUAUGAAUAAGCACCGGCUAACUCCGUGCCAGCCGCCGCUGUAA